GGGUCUGUAGCAAAGCGGAUUUUGCAGCGGUUUCUUAAACCGACAGGCGUGGGUUCGAAUCCCACCGGGCCCA
Molecule: transfer RNA, 73 nt
Filed under: Deltaproteobacteria bacterium
Lineage: Bacteria; Pseudomonadati; Myxococcota; Myxococcia
Description: tRNA-Lys
Rfam family: tRNA
About the family: Transfer RNA (tRNA) molecules are approximately 80 nucleotides in length.
Source: RNAcentral